Long non-coding RNA from Neofelis nebulosa (Clouded leopard), 1145 nucleotides. RefSeq lists it as uncharacterized. The transcript has 3 exons. The record is from RefSeq and is a predicted model, not a curated record. NCBI's taxonomy places the organism in Eukaryota, Metazoa, Chordata, Mammalia, Carnivora, Felidae.
AUGCAAUAGGGCUGGAGUGUGCAUUUCAGUUGGUGUUUGAUUCUUUCCGUGUUCCUUUCUUUUUUCUUUUUUAGAGAGCAGGGGGAGAGGGAGAGGGAGAAAGAAUCCCGAGCGGGCUCCACCCUGGCACGGAGCCCGACGCGGAUCGAUCUCACAACUGUAAGGUCGUGACCUGAGCCAAAAUCAAGAGUUGGACCCUUAACGCACUGAGCCACCCAGGUGCCUUGGUGUCUGAUUCCUAACUGUUCCUACAGCCCACAUUCUCCUGGUGGUGGUGAUGGAGCACAUUAGCCGACUUCACCAACUCUAAAGGCAGUAAAUUUAGCAGCUCAGAGCACGGGUUCGAGAGACAGACCUCAGGUCACCCACCACCUCUGUCUGUGGCCAUAGACAAGUCUGAGCCUUUGGUUUUCUCACCUGCAAAGGAAGCGAUAUUAUUGGAGCUCGUCCGAGAAUGAAAGGAAACACUGGGAAAUGCUUUGCAUAGUAUCUGCUACAUAGGCAUCCCUUUAGGUCCCGGAGCUUCAUGGCCUGUUACAAGGCAGAGUGAGGCGUCAGAGCUGCUGUGGGAACUAAAGUAGGGGUGUGGCCACGGGGCUGUUCGAACAUCUGACGGAUGCUGUUGUGUCUCCACGUGUUUUCAACGCUGUUGUUCUGUCAAUACCACGUCAUACUCAUUCAAGCAUGUGAUCUACUGGGUAUUUUAUUUCAUGUGGCGAGGUUAUUUUGAGACUUUUAGAAAAGGAAAUUUAGAGCAAACAUAAAGAUACCUUAUCUGAACAUGUCAUUUUCGCUUUUUUAUUAGCACCGCAGAAAACCUUCUAUUAACACCAUAGAGAAAGAAAACAAACUUGACCAAAAAGUCCAAGCCGUGCUGGCUUCUGUAUUUGAAGUUUUGUUCUUUAUUUUUCCACUUGACCGGCAUGUCUAUUUUGCCUCCCUUCCUUUUCCCUUCUGCGGGCAAAAGAACACUUAUUUAUCUUUCCAUUUAUAGGGCAUUUCCUUUAUGAAGCCCCUAUUGACACACCUGCCACCAAGUAAACUUGAUCACUCCCUGUUUUUGUGGCCCCGCUGCUCCCUGAAAGCUUCUACCACGGUUAACAAUGUCUUCACUGACAAAACGAAAAUCAGACAAACUAAACCCA